GUCCUUUGGACGACAAUAGGAAAG
RNAcentral lists this small nuclear RNA (24 nucleotides) under Arabidopsis thaliana (thale cress). RNAcentral describes it as "snRNA_11831". Lineage: Eukaryota; Viridiplantae; Streptophyta; Magnoliopsida; Brassicales; Brassicaceae. The record is from RNAcentral.